This 292-nucleotide ribosomal RNA is filed under the name uncultured bacterium. Its description in RNAcentral is "partial 16S ribosomal RNA". It matches the Rfam family "Bacterial small subunit ribosomal RNA", at positions 505 to 796 of the family's 1533-position model. The record is from RNAcentral.
GUGUCAGCCGCCGCGGUAAUACAGGGGGGGCGAGCGUUGUUCGGAAUUACUGGGCGUAAAGGGUUCGUAGGUGGCUAGCUAAGUCAGACGUGAAAUCCCUCAGCUUAACUGGGGAACUGCGUCUGAUACUGGUCGGCUUGAGUGCAGGAGAGGAACGCGGAAUUCCAGGUGUAGCGGUGAAAUGCGUAGAUAUCUGGAGGAACACCGGUGGCGAAGGCGGCGUUCUGGACUGCAACUGACACUGAGGAACGAAAGCCAGGGGAGCAAACGGGAUUAGAAACCCCAGUAGUCC